AUUGAACGCUGGCGGCAGGCCUAACACAUGCAAGUCGAACGAGUGGCGGACGGGUGAGUAAUGCCUGGGAAUCUGGCUGAUGGAGGGGGAUAACUACGGGAAACUGUCGCUAAUACCGCAUACCAUCGGAUGAGCCCAAGUGGGAUUAGGUAGUUGGUGGGGUAAUGGCCUACCAAGCCGACGAUCCCUAGCUGGUCUGAGAGGAUGACCAGCCACACCGGGACUGAGACACGGCCCGGACUCCUACGGGAGGCAGCAGUGGGGAAUAUUGCGCAAUGGGGGCAACCUGACGCAGCCAUGCCGCGUGAAUGAAGAAGGCCUUCGGGUUGUAAAGUUCUUUCGGUGACGAGGCGUUAAUCACAGAAGAAGCACCGGCUAACUCCGUGCCAGCAGCCGCGGUAAUUC
This 405-nucleotide ribosomal RNA is filed under the name uncultured bacterium. Its description in RNAcentral is "partial 16S ribosomal RNA". It matches the Rfam family "Bacterial small subunit ribosomal RNA", at positions 30 to 526 of the family's 1533-position model. The record is from RNAcentral.